RNAcentral lists this non-coding RNA (74 nucleotides) under Schistosoma japonicum. The record is from RNAcentral. Lineage: Eukaryota; Metazoa; Platyhelminthes; Trematoda; Strigeidida; Schistosomatidae.
UAAAAUCGGAAUAGUCAGUAGUCUUGUGGUGAACGCGGUGGCAUUUGACACGAGGCGGACUGAGUUCGAAUCCC